Cervus elaphus (red deer) is the source of this 733-nucleotide long non-coding RNA. RefSeq lists it as uncharacterized. The transcript is spliced from 3 exons. NCBI's taxonomy places the organism in Eukaryota, Metazoa, Chordata, Mammalia, Artiodactyla, Cervidae. The record is from RefSeq and is a predicted model, not a curated record.
CGAGCCUGGUUCCAGGAGCAGAUGGCGAAUGGCUUCCCCACCCUGGGAGCCUGCACCCAUGGGGACCAGCGUUAGGGCCAGGGAGAAGGUCUUCAAAACACUGUCUCCCCUCCUCGCUUUUGGGAGCAAAUUCGGGCUGCACCAGCAAGAGAAAUGUUCCCCCGGGAUCUGGUAUUGAUGAUGUGACUGUGAAGGCUGAGCACAGUUAGGAACCAGCCCAGAGACCACAUCGCUGAACAGGAACAAGAGCCAGGAGUCAACUCCAUCAUCUGUGCUAAAGCUCACGCUCCUAACAACUGUGGCGCAUUGCCAUCUUUCCAGUGGUUAAUCUGGGAUAUUUUGAACAUCAAAUGUUUUCUUCCAUCCUCUUCUUUGGGGGCUAAAGAUGGUAGGCAGUGUUGACUGGAGAGCCAGGGACUGGUUGUCUGGUGGUGACAAUGGGCAAAGAGAUAAUGGGUAGCUGGGCCCUUGGGGAGGCAAAGAAAGGUCCUUGGUUAACCUGUAGGGAAUUAACCUGAUUAAGUUGUAGGGGACUUCCCUGCUGGUCUAAGUGGUUAAGAAUCUGCGUUCUAAUUCAGGGGACUCAGGUUCGAUCCCUGGUGGGGGACUAAGAUCCCAUAUGCCACGAGGCAUCUAAGCUCGCGUGCUACGACUACCGAGCCCAUGUGCUUCAAGGUCCAUGUGCCACAAUGAAAGAUCCUGUCUGCCGCCAACUAAGACCAGAUUCAGCCAA